ACGGGAGGCAGCAGUGGGGAAUAUUGGGCAAUGGGCGCAAGCCUGACCCAGCAACGCCGCGUGAAGGAAGAAGGCUUUCGGGUUGUAAACUUCUUUUAUCAGGGACGAAUAAAAUGACGGUACCUGAAGAAUAAGCCACGGCUAACUACGUGCCAGCAGCCGCGGUAAUACGUAGGUGGCAAGCGUUGUCCGGAUUUACUGGGUGUAAAGGGCGCGUAGGCGGGAUGACAAGUCAGGUGUGAAAUCUAUGGGCUUAACCCAUAAACUGCACUUGAAACUGCCAUUCUUGAGUGUCGGAGAGGUAGAUGGAAUUCCUAGUGUAGCGGUGAAAUGCGUAGAUAUUAGGAGGAACACCAGUGGCGAAGGCGACUUACUGGGCCGUUACUGACGCUGAGGCACGAAAGUGUGGGGAGCAAACAGGAUUAGAUACCCUGGUA
Molecule: ribosomal RNA, 437 nt
Filed under: uncultured Clostridium sp.
Lineage: Bacteria; Bacillati; Bacillota; Clostridia; Eubacteriales; Clostridiaceae
Description: partial 16S ribosomal RNA
Rfam family: Bacterial small subunit ribosomal RNA
Source: RNAcentral